AGAGCAACAAAUAAUAUCUUAUAAAUCCGGUCAGAUCUGGAAGGAAGCAGCCGUAGUAAGUAAUUUUGGUGCAAUAAU
Molecule: signal recognition particle RNA, 78 nt
Filed under: Candidatus Moranella endobia PCIT
Lineage: Bacteria; Pseudomonadati; Pseudomonadota; Gammaproteobacteria; Enterobacterales; Enterobacteriaceae
Description: Bacterial small signal recognition particle RNA
Rfam family: Bacterial small signal recognition particle RNA
About the family: The signal recognition particle (SRP) is a universally conserved ribonucleoprotein involved in the co-translational targeting of proteins to membranes. Archaeal SRP consists of a 7S RNA and homologues of the eukaryotic SRP19 and SRP54 proteins.
Source: Rfam by way of RNAcentral